CUGCUGUGAUGAGUUCAGUCUGGUUUCGCUUGUGUCGGAUGUUUGGUGAAGACACUUCUCUUGGCUGUCUGAGCAG
Small nucleolar RNA from Pseudophryne corroboree (corroboree frog), 76 nucleotides. RefSeq annotates it as small nucleolar RNA SNORD53/SNORD92. NCBI's taxonomy places the organism in Eukaryota, Metazoa, Chordata, Amphibia, Anura, Myobatrachidae. The transcript has a single exon. The record is from RefSeq and is a predicted model, not a curated record.